RNAcentral lists this unclassified non-coding RNA (352 nucleotides) under soil metagenome. RNAcentral's name for it is "partial contains 5.8S ribosomal RNA, internal transcribed spacer 2, and large subunit ribosomal RNA". The stretch from base 1 to 120 matches the Rfam family "5.8S ribosomal RNA", at positions 35 to 154 of the family's 154-position model. The record is from RNAcentral.
GAUGAAGAACGUAGCGAAAUGCGAUAAGUAAUGUGAAUUGCAGAAUUCAGUGAAUCAUCGAAUCUUUGAACGCACAUUGCGCCCGCCAGUAUUCUGGCGGGCAUGCCUGUUCGAGCGUCAUUACAACCCUCAGGCCCCCGGGCCUGGCGUUGGGGAUCGGCAGAAGCCCCCUGUGGGCACACGCCGUCCCUCAAAUACAGUGGCGGUCCCGCCGCAGCUUCCAUUGCGUAGUAGCUAACACCUCGCAACUGGAGAGCGGCGCGGCCAUGCCGUAAAACCCCCAACUUCUGAAUGUUGACCUCGAAUCAGGUAGGAAUACCCGCUGAACUUAAGCAUAUCAAUAAGCGGAGGA